Molecule: ribosomal RNA, 253 nt
Filed under: uncultured bacterium
Lineage: Bacteria
Description: partial 16S ribosomal RNA
Rfam family: Bacterial small subunit ribosomal RNA
Source: RNAcentral
UACGUAGGCAGCGAGCGUUGUUCGGAAUUACUGGGCGUAAAGAGUGUGUAGGCGGUGCUCCCAGUCUGUUGUGAAAUCUCCCGGCUUAACUGGGAGGGUGCAGCGGAAACUAGAGUGCUAGAGGGUGGGAGAGGUGAGCGGAAUUCCUGGUGUAGCGGUGAAAUGCGUAGAUAUCAAGUGGAACACCAGUGGCGAAGGCGAGUCCCUGGACAACACCUGACACUGAGGCACGAAAGCUAGGGGAGCAAACAGG